Molecule: long non-coding RNA, 1837 nt
Filed under: Homo sapiens (human)
Lineage: Eukaryota; Metazoa; Chordata; Mammalia; Primates; Hominidae
Description: novel transcript, antisense to PAK7
Source: RNAcentral
CUCUCUGCUCUGGAUGAAGGAUUAGAAGAGCCAGGCAAGGAACCAGGGGUCUUGUUAGGAAGUUAUUCUAGUGGUCCAGCAAGAAGGAUGGAAGGCAACAUCAACAAAUCAACUGGGGGCACAGUAUGUUUGAGAUACUCUAGAAGAUCCAGGUCCUGGGUUGUCUUGGCUCCCAGAGACGUCGAUCUUAGUGAUCGCUAAGCAGCAUCCAGCAGGAAUAAUACGUGACUUUAGCAACUCCUGGGGCUUUCCAAAAAGGCCUAGAGGGAUCCCACCCUGCCCAGGAUUCAGGAGAGAAAACAACCUUCCUUCCUCAUACAGUUAAUAAAUGUUAAGUAUGGUGGUAAGCAUUGAAGAUAAAAGGAAAAUUUCAAAAUAAAAGAUUAUAUGUUAAGACCAAGAAACAAAAUCCAGCUAUCUGUAGCAUACAUAAGACAGAUCUGAAACAUAAUAAUAAAAAAGAGUCAAAAGAACAAGAAAUUGCUAAUCCAAAUUGAAAAACAGAAAUCACAGUCUUAAUGCUGGGGAAAUUUGAAUUUACAGAUGAAAGCAUCGUUUGAUAAGAGAAAGAUUGAAACUGCCUUUGCAAAAUUAUGAAAGUAAGGGAAAUCUGACAUAGUUGACUCUAUUUUGCUUCUAACUUUCAAGCUAUCAUGGGUCACUCUUGGGUGUAGACUGAGUUGGCUUUGGGAGAAUUUAAUUUAUAGUUUAACCUUAAAGCAAAGAUGAUAAUAGCACUUUCCAAAACUAUUAAUAAACCACCUUUGCAAGUAAAACGAAUGAAAGGCCACAUGGUUAGGAUUAUGAGAGGGGCCCGAAUUCUGCUAAGAUGUGGGUAUAGUUUCUAUAAUCCCUUACUGCUCAGGAAUCAUGUGGCCAGAGGUCACAAGAUCUGUGACUUCCCCAAUUACUCCUAUAGAUAGCAUCACUAUUAUAAAACAUAAGAUUUUUUUUUUUUUUUUUAGAUGGAAUCUCACUGUGUCGCCCAGGCUGGAGUGCAGUGGCGUGAUCUCUGCUCGCUGCAAGCUCCGCCUCCCGGGUUCAUGCCAUUCUCCCACCUCGGUCUCCCGAGUACCUGGGACUACAGGUGCCUGCCACCACACCCAGCUAAUUUUGUUUUUGUAUUUUUAGUAGAGACAGGGUUUUACCUUGUUAGCCAGGAUGGUCUCAAUCUCCUGACCUCGUGAUGCACCCACCUUGGCCUCCCAAAGUGCUGGGAUUACAGGUGUGAGACACCACGCCUGGCGGAUUGGUUGUUUGAGAUAUCUUUCAGACUGACUCCACCUGGACUCUGGACUCAUGACUCAACUACUCCUGUGGCCCCACCCAGAGGCUGACUCAGCACACAAGGACUGUAUCCCAUAUCCCUAUGAUUUGAUUUCCAACCAAUCAACAUUCACCAUUCCCUAGUCCCCUGCCGACCAAACUAUCCUUGAAAACCCCUAACCUCUGUUAGAUAUGAGUUCUAAAUUUCUUUUCAAAGAGACAGUAUGUCAAUAUGUUCAAUUCUUUGCCUUCUACUUUUAAACUUAACUUCCUCGUAAAGCAACCUUUUUUGAUUACCUGCUCCACCCCAACUCUUUCCGAUUACCUGCUGUAUCAUAACCAUUUUUCCCACUCACCCCAUCUCUCUCUUUAAACCACUCACCCCAUCUCUCUCUUUAAAUUAGCCAGUCAGAAUUAGUGUAGCCUGUGCAGUCUAACCCUAGCCAAUAGGGGAACGACACAGCAGUAGGGGCCACAUGCGUCAGGGAUAAGUACCCCUUCCCCUCCCUUGUCCAAGUGUGCACUCACUGUGGCUCGGUCUGUAAGGGUGCACCCUUCUAUAGAAGUCACU